This 386-nucleotide ribosomal RNA is filed under the name uncultured bacterium. RNAcentral's name for it is "bacterial SSU rRNA". It matches the Rfam family "Bacterial small subunit ribosomal RNA", at positions 30 to 416 of the family's 1533-position model. The record is from RNAcentral.
AUUGAACGCUGGCGGCAUGCCUUACACAUGCAAGUCGAACGGCAGCACGGGAGCAAUCCUGGUGGCGAGUGGCGAACGGGUGAGUAAUAUAUCGGAACGUGCCCAGUCGUGGGGGAUAACGUAGCGAAAGCUACGCUAAUACCGCAUACGAUCUAUGGAUGAAAGCGGGGGAUCGCAAGACCUCGCGCGAUUGGAGCGGCCGAUAUCAGAUUAGGUAGUUGGUGAGGUAAAGGCUCACCAAGCCGACGAUCUGUAGCUGGUCUGAGAGGACGACCAGCCACACUGGGACUGAGACACGGCCCAGACUCCUACGGAGGCAGCAGUGGGGAAUUUUUGGACAAUGGGNGCAAGCCUGAUCCAGCAAUGCCGCGUGCAGGAUGAAGGCC